UCUUUGCCAUCCACUUAAGGUUGUGAUUGUGCACUGUAGCAUAUCACAUUAAAAGGGAAUCGGGUGUAAAUGCCCGGGCUGUUCCCGCAACUGUAAGCUAAUCUCAAAUAUGUUGAGAGGCUGUUGUUAACUGCAUGCCACUACGCUAUUUAGCGCGGGAAGGUAAACAACAGUACGCAAGCCAGGAGACCUGCCUUAAGCGGUAACUAAUA
This 212-nucleotide non-coding RNA is filed under the name Flavobacterium subsaxonicum. RNAcentral also lists the same sequence under 1 other name. Lineage: Bacteria; Pseudomonadati; Bacteroidota; Flavobacteriia; Flavobacteriales; Flavobacteriaceae. The record is from RNAcentral.